UGGGUUAUACAUUUAGUAUACACUGUUGACCGGAAACGCAGAAAAAGUGGUUGGGCGGUCACUUUGUAAAAAAGAUAAGGCAGUGGUCGGCGUGAAUGGGCUGCUUGUGGGGCCUACUAGGAGCCUGAUGCCCGUUUACACAGACACAGAAGCAGACGCUCCUCUGUCUGAAUUCCCAGUGAGAAAAGCAUUGUCACAUAAAG
This 203-nucleotide long non-coding RNA is filed under the name Prunus persica (peach). Its description in RNAcentral is "long non-coding RNA (PPER_LNC001783)". The record is from RNAcentral. Lineage: Eukaryota; Viridiplantae; Streptophyta; Magnoliopsida; Rosales; Rosaceae.